GUUUGCUGUGGUGUCUGAGCUUGUGAACCGCUACCUCUCCUGUGUGGUUUCCUCGUUCUCCUGCGGUUGUGGGCAUUGCAGAGGCCUAGUUGAGGAUGCACUUCUUGGAUUGUGGUCUGGGAGUUGGUCAAUCUCCUGGAUGUGUGGUGGUUGAAGGGUCAACAUGAGAACCUCAUCUGAACUAAGCAUGUCUUCGGUCAUCAAGUGAAGUGGGAACCACAUCAUGAGGCUGCAGGCAGACACUGCCUAGGUGGAAGCUCUGUGAAGGACGUACGAAAUCAAUGCCCAAGACGGGUAAUAUGCCUGUAAAGAUCCAAGCAGCCAAAUCACGACCUUGGACCUACUCCUAUGAGUCAUGGCAAUCCCUGACUGGAUUUUAGGUGCCAGUAAAUUGUCCUCACCAUCUGUCAUAAAAUGGUGUCCGUUAACUGAAGGAAAUUGCACCACUUUAUCGGAGAACUAGAGUACUUCCCCUCAGCAAGGCUGAGAAUAGACUUGAGGUAACUGCCAGCAGUUAAUCUUGUUUAUAGGCCUGUGUUGUGUACUGGCUGUGGGCAUUGCAGAGGCCUAAUUGAGGAUGCGCUUCUUGGAUUGUGGUCUGGGAGUUGGUCAAUCUCCUGGAUGUGUGGUGGUUGAAGGGCCAACAUGAGAACCUCAUCUGAACUAAGCAUGUCUUCUGUCAUCAAGUGAAGUGGGAACCACAUGAGGCCAUGCAGAGGCAGACACUGCCUAGGUGGAAGCUCUGCUCUGUGAAAGAGGAUUAGCUGCUUGGAUCUUCACAGGCAUCAUCAUGUGUCUACUCCAGAACCUGAAAAGGUGAACCCACUGGAGUUGCCUGGGUUUGGCUGUUAUGGUGAAAUGAUUAGUGUCUGGUCCUGACCAUCUGUCUUAAAAUGGUUUGAAAUCCUUGGCAGAAGUCCUGGCCAGACACGGCUGAAAAAGGGACCAUACAUUCAGAUUGAUUGUUUUUUUUCUGUAUGCCGGAGAGUGAGCGGUCCAUGCCAGGUUUCAGAACAUGAUCAGGUUGCCUGCAUCCUCAGUGAUUUGGGUCCCCGCUAUCCCCAGGCUUUGGUACUCAAAAACCUGUCUGCUCCAAGACUCUUUGGCGUCAUCAUGUUCCAGCAUGGCUUUCUUGUACUACAGUUUUUAUUUGUGAAUAAAUGUGUGGCCCUAACAUUGUCUUGGAAUUGUAUCAGGAUGGGAUGGAUAUUGAGGGUUACAACUUCACCAUAAGCCAGUAGAGCAAAAACAGUAAGAGUAGCUAAGUGAUAUGGUUGGCUGUUCUGGAAAUUAUGGUAAAAAUGUAUUUUCAGAGUUCUUAUGCAUUAACCCUUCGCUGAGACUAAGUUGUCGUUUUGUUAGGGCAUAUAGCAACGGCUGAUGAGCCGUUUUGUCGGCAGACGGGUGGAAUGGGAAGACUAUAAGGAAUUGUAUUAAUUACUAAGUUUCUAUAUAUUAUAUAGUGUGCGUGGCAAGUCAUUUUGUAUGCGAGGGCCAUAAUCUGGCUUCGCUUUCCACUCCUACCCACAGACCCUUAACAUUCUAUGGAUUGGCUCCUACUUUUACAAUGGUUGGUGUUGCCAUAUUGAGAAAUGCAGACUUUCACCUUUCUCUUGAGUGGUGUGAACCGAGGUUGAUGUUUUGGAAUAGAGCUGGCUACACCUGCUCAGUAACUGAAUUUAAUUCAAAGGGGCGUGGUUCUGAAGGUACUGUUAGUUUUCUUUGCACCUCAGGGCAGAUAUAAACUAAUUACAACUUUUAAUAAGAAAUGGCCAACGAUCGGCCCAGAAAGCAGGGGCAGUGGCCCAUUGGUUUAUGUUCUGUAUACUCCAACACUGUCCCCAUCUGUCCCCUUGUCUUCUGUCAGAUGCCGUGGCCUGAUGAAUGAGUCACAAAAGCGCAAGGUGGGUACGGACAAUUUGCGGGCCAAAAAAACCGAAAGCGACCGUUGUCGUCAUGUGCAAAAAUAACCCACCCCCACCAUACGGUCAUACCCUUAUUCUACCCUAUACUGUGUGCUAGGAUUUUCCUGCAAUGUAAAUAAUUUCUACCAUCGACAUAGUUUUCUGUUCCAUUACUCUACUUACCCUUGUAAUAGUAACCAUACAAGCACACUGUAUCCCUAUUAAGCUGUUCUGCAAUACUUGAAUGCUCUGUCCACCUUUUCCACUACCAAUGUUGUAUACGUCAUGUAUAUACCAUAUUAUGUUUGUAUGUACAUGUACUGCAUGUAUGCUGUGUACAUUAACCCCCUGUAUGUGUACAUUUUACCACAUGUAUGCUAGCAUGUUCAUCAUAAUACAUGUAUGAUUUCUUCUGCUAUUUUCCUGAUUGUUUCAUCUUUCUCUCCCCUUCAGCCACAAGCCUUUCUUUUUCUAUCUUUACCCAGCCGGCUUCACGCAGAUAGGGCCCC
Clupea harengus (Atlantic herring) is the source of this 2413-nucleotide long non-coding RNA. The record is from Ensembl. Lineage: Eukaryota; Metazoa; Chordata; Actinopteri; Clupeiformes; Clupeidae.